Molecule: transfer RNA, 69 nt
Filed under: Solenodon paradoxus paradoxus
Lineage: Eukaryota; Metazoa; Chordata; Mammalia; Eulipotyphla; Solenodontidae
Also listed under: 1 other name
Description: tRNA-Gly
Source: RNAcentral
ACUUUCCUAGUAUAAAAAGUACAGUUGACUUCCAAUCAACUAGUCUCAGCAACAGUCUGAGGAGAAGUA